GUGAAUCAUCAAAUUUUUGAACGCAAAUUGCACUCUCCUCGAAGAGUAUGCCUGUUUGAGGUUCAGCCUAUAAAAAAUCGACAUGGUUGCUGUUAUAUGGUGACUUUCGGCGGGGAUGGGUUAUCUUAUAGCUCGGUUCAAGCGACUUAAAAUUUUCUUUUGUUUCCAUGAACGUUUCUAAGAUCUAUUUCUUUACACGUUGAAGGUAUCGAUUUUUACUAGACGUGACCAUCAUAUCGGAUCGCGUCCAUAAUCUUUCAUUAACUGACCUUAGACAGGUAAGAGUACCC
This 290-nucleotide unclassified non-coding RNA is filed under the name Glomus sp. Its description in RNAcentral is "partial contains 5.8S ribosomal RNA and internal transcribed spacer 2". The stretch from base 1 to 65 matches the Rfam family "5.8S ribosomal RNA", at positions 84 to 154 of the family's 154-position model. The record is from RNAcentral. Lineage: Eukaryota; Fungi; Glomeromycota; Glomeromycetes; Glomerales; Glomeraceae.